RNAcentral lists this long non-coding RNA (339 nucleotides) under Salmo salar (Atlantic salmon). RNAcentral's name for it is "lncRNA (ENSSSAG00000084734.1)". Lineage: Eukaryota; Metazoa; Chordata; Actinopteri; Salmoniformes; Salmonidae. The record is from RNAcentral.
AGAUCAAUCUUUGUGUUCAUUCUCGCAAUCGCUCUCUUGCUGUGUCCCCAUCGCUGUAUUGAUCUCUUUUGUUUUUUCAACUACAUGUCACAUUUGUCCGGUAAUCCUGAUUUUGCCUGUGCUGAACUCCAUCUUGUUUCUUUUUGUCCUGGAAAACUCCUCAGUAUUGGCCGAUGUCAACCAUACCAUGAUGCAGCCACCACCAUGCUUAAAAAUAAGGAGGCAGUUACUCAGUGAUGUGUUGGAUUUCUCCCAAACAUAAAGCUUUGCAUUUAUGCCAAAAAGUCUACACCUUUGCUGUGUUUUUUUUGCUAUGUAUUUGUUUUAUUUUCACUGUCA